RNAcentral lists this long non-coding RNA (201 nucleotides) under Elaeis guineensis (African oil palm). Its description in RNAcentral is "long non-coding RNA (EGUI_LNC003464)". Lineage: Eukaryota; Viridiplantae; Streptophyta; Magnoliopsida; Arecales; Arecaceae. The record is from RNAcentral.
CUCUUUCAUCUUUUCUUUUAAAAAGUGAUUUAGUCAUCUUACCAAGUAGACAGGAUUCGCAGAUUGAUAAUGAUUCAUAACCAUCUAUUUUAAGAAUAUGCUCCUUGAUUCACCUAUCAAUCUUAUUCUUGUUCAUAUAACCAAGCCUACAAUGCUAAAGAUAGGAUUCACUGAUAUUAUCUAUUUUAGGACGUUUGCUGG